UGUCUUGGCCACACACACACUA
This 22-nucleotide non-coding RNA is filed under the name Mus musculus (house mouse). The record is from RNAcentral. Lineage: Eukaryota; Metazoa; Chordata; Mammalia; Rodentia; Muridae.